UAGGCAGAAGAUGUUGACUUUUUAGGUGGG
Molecule: non-coding RNA, 30 nt
Filed under: Rattus norvegicus (Norway rat)
Lineage: Eukaryota; Metazoa; Chordata; Mammalia; Rodentia; Muridae
Source: RNAcentral